Molecule: ribosomal RNA, 285 nt
Filed under: uncultured bacterium
Lineage: Bacteria
Description: partial 16S ribosomal RNA
Rfam family: Bacterial small subunit ribosomal RNA
Source: RNAcentral
AAUCAACGCUGGCGGCGUGCCUCAGACAUGCAAGUCGAACGAGAAAGUUUCCUUCGGGGAAUGAGUAAAGUGGCGCACGGGUGAGUAACACGUAGGUAAUCUACCUUCGGGUGGGGAAUAACCCAGGGAACUUGGGCUAACACCGCAUAAUGCAGCGGCACCACAUGGUGACAGUUGUUAAAGCGGGGGAUUUUAGGGCCUCGCGCCUGAAGAGGAGCCUGCGGCGGAUUAGCUAGUUGGNGAGGUAAUGGCUCACCAAGGCUUCGAUCUGUAGCUGGUCUGAGA